UGAGGAAUAUUGGUCAAUGGACGCAAGUCUGAACCAGCCAUGCCGCGUGAAGGAUGAAGGCCUUCUGGGUUGUAAACUUCUUUUAUCUGGGAAGAAACCUCCGAUUUCUAUUGGAGCCGACGGUACCAGAGGAAUAAGCACCGGCUAACUCCGUGCCAGCAGCCGCGGUAAUACGGAGGGGGCUAGCGUUAUUCGGAAUUACUGGGCGUAAAGCGCACGUAGGCGGAUUGGAAAGUCAGAGGUGAAAUCCCAGAGCUCAACUUUGGAACUGCCUUUGAAACUCCCAGUCUUGAGGUCGAGAGAGGUGAGUGGAAUUCCGAGUGUAGAGGUGAAAUUCGUAGAUAUUCGGAAGAACACUAGUGGCGAAGGCGACUCACUGGCCCAUUACUGACGCUGAGGCGCGAAAGCGUGGGGAGCAAACAGG
This 424-nucleotide ribosomal RNA is filed under the name uncultured bacterium. RNAcentral's name for it is "bacterial SSU rRNA". It matches the Rfam family "Bacterial small subunit ribosomal RNA", at positions 355 to 776 of the family's 1533-position model. The record is from RNAcentral.